UGAAAAUAAAUGCGUUUUUAUUCAUCGUCGUCGUCGUCGUCGUCAUCUUUCAUUUUAGACAUUGCUGUAGUCCUCCUCGCGCAUUCUUUCUUUUCUUAUUCAACCGCCAUUGAAAUCCCCCUAACCUUUGACCUCUUUACCACCUUCACCCUCCUUCUUAGCCCUAACCUUGUCAACAAACACUCUCUCUUCAACAACAACCACUCUCAUCUCACUUUCUCCCUUUAUCAUCACCAACCAACCAACAAACCAACCUUCCUCCUCUUCCUUUUCUCUUCCUCGAUUCUCCCCGUUUCAAGAUAAGACGGGGCUUUGUUAAAAAGAAGAGUUGGUGUGUUUGGGGGUCUUCAAAGGUUUACAGAUUGGAUAGUACAAGUGAUAUGCAGCAAAGAAUACAAAAUCUCAUUUCGGGCUUUUGAAAUAUGGGAUCUGUGUGUUGUGUUGCGGCAAGAGACAAGACUGUUGGGGUUGGAUCUGGUAGUGAAACGCAGCAUAGGAAUGUUCGUCACUCGCCGAGUUGGAGCUUUCGGUGGGAUCAUCCUGGGCGAGUGGUUGGUGAGGAAGUUUCCCUGAAUUCGAUUUCAGAUGGAGUAAGUAGAAAUGAUAGGCCAGAGUUCAAAUAUGAAUCCUCAUAUGCUUCAGAAGAGGGUAGUCCAUUGGAACAUUAUCGUAGACAGACAUGGAAAAACUCCUCAGUUUCUGAAGGAAGCACGACGAAUGUGAGGACUCCUACAUCAGGUCGUUCAAUUUCAAGAAAUGUUUCCACGGAUGUUAGUUUGGAACAGGUGAAGAAAGCCACAGAAUGUGCAACAGCUUCUACAUCUCCUGCAAAAGUAUCCCUUUCAAUCCCUUCAACUUCAUCUUUGUCAACAUCCCCUCUAUCAACCCACAGUCACAUUCCUUCCACCGGUCUGACCUCAUCGAGAUUGUCUCACUGUUCUCCCGGGCAUCGAUUGUUACGUCAAGUAUCUGGCAAUCGCAUCCCAGCAUACAAGUCACCAAGUAGCUACACAGUUUCAGAGGACAGGCGUGCAAUCCCUGGGAGCAUUGAUUCAUUACGGGGAUCACAUGGUGGGUCUUCUGACGGUUGGUCUAUGAAUGCUUUCUCUGAGCUCAUGGCAACUUCUCAUAGGGGAAGAUGGUCCUUUGGUAGUGAAUCCUUUGACUUUGCGCGUGAGAAGAUGGUUAGAUCCUGCAGCCUAUUCUCGCCUUCACCUUCUGCUGAUUCGCAAGCUUGCGGAAUUUGCUCAAUGUUGUUGGUGGAGAGAUCUUUAUGGACCAGCCAAAAGAUAAUUGCUAACAAUGAACUGUCUGUUGUUGCUGUACUAACAUGUGGACAUGUUUAUCAUGCUGAGUGUUUGGAGAGUAUGACUCCUGAAAUUAGCAAGUAUGAUCCAGCCUGCCCAAUAUGUUCAUUUGGUGAAAAGCAGACACUAAGGAUGUCUGAAAAGGCACUUAGAGGUGAAUUAGAGUCGAAAAUUAGAAAUAAGAGGUUAAGGAAUCGCAUUGCUGAUAGCGGUCUUGACAGCGAAUCUGCCAUGCUUGAUCAUUUUAUAAAUACUGGACAACAAGGGAAGUGUCCUAAGUUGUCUUCUAGCUCCAGUUUGAGAAGUUCCUCAGGGAGGGGUUUCUUGAGGCGUCACUUCUCCUUUGGCUCAAAGGGAGGGACCAAAGCCCUGCCAGAAAGUAACAACACAGCGAAGAGAAAAGGAUUUUUAUGGUCAAGAUCUACUAAGAUGUGACAUUUUCUAUAAUUUCUUAUGGGAGGUUCCACAAUUCACCUUUGAUAGUUAGGCUGGUACACAAAAUGAAGAAUGCAAGAUAGAAUUGACUAAGGGGAUACACUACACCAUCCCUAGGUUUGGAUAGUUGGAUAAUUCUUUAUGAAAUUUAUACAGGCUUAGUUUGUGGAGUCAACAACACUGUAUAUAAGAACGUAGGGUAAAAGAAGUAACAGUUCAGAUAAACAAGAUUGAAAGAAUUGAAUUGCAUCAUGACGCGUUAGAUUGGCGAUUCUCAUUCUUAUCUUGUACAGUUCGAUAUGUUUUGACGUGGACCAUUGUAUGCAUUCAUCAAACUUAUGUUAUGAAUUCUGAUAGACUACCUCUGAUUUCUUUUUUUUUACACAAGCAAGAUAUCAUUUUCUCUGACCACGGGUAGCUAUCGUUUGCCGCUGCAACCAACAAGGAAACAUCAGGUACGAUCAGUGGACUCCAAUCUUUUCUCAAUUACGGGCUUUUCUUGAUUUCUCAUUGGACUGUAAAAAUUAGAAUAUACAAUAUUGACUGACCAAUAGUUCAACCUGUGUUCCAACUUAAAUUUUCUUGUACUUUUAAGAGUAAACCACAUGUGGGUUACUCCAUCUCGAUUAGUCCUGUCUCUAGAAACUCCUUGUUCUUGCUUGGCAUGUAUGGUAAAAACUUGUGUUAAGUUCGAGAAUAUAGCUUCUUUCCCCCAGUUUGUUUUUGGCUUGUGCUGAGGCUCCUACUCCUACAAUUUGGCGAGAAAUGACCUAACCUUACAGAAGUUAGAAAAGCUAAAAUAGACAAGAUAGAUAUGGUUCUUAAAUAUGUUGGAUAUAGAUUGGUUUCAUCUCAAAAGCUGACACCUGUUCCAUAAAUUUCUUACGUGGCAACCCAAAAAGGAUGAUGUGUUAGGCUUAGACAGGUACUUAGCUUCUGCUUGUAUGAUUAUUUUGUCCAUUUUGUCUGGGUGUGGAAUGUGUGGAAUGUGUGGAAUGAGAAUAGAGAAUAGAGAAAAUGGCUGAUGUACGGGACGAGCGUGGCAACCAUCCGACUCACCGACGAGCACAAUCCGGUUGUGCUGACUGAUGAACAUGGCAACCCCAUGUGGCUCAGUGACGUCGAAACCAAGGUUGGCACGUCGCUUGGGUCACUAAUGUUUGGUGGUGAUGGUGAGGAUGGUGGCAAUGACUGCUUCUGAUGUUAAAGGUAGUUCAGCAGGUGGUUCAGGAGGUGGCUUAUGGCGACGGUGAGCAGCCGUUGCAGCCACAUGAGAAGGAUGAAGAUUGUGGCUCUAGUUCCCACGUCAGGCUCUGCUUCGGAAGAGGGGGAAGAGGAAGAAGAAAAGACCAACAUAGAAUAAAAAGAGAAAUUAAGGGGAGGAAGAUAUAAAGAGGAGUGCCUUCAGCUUCUCCCAUGACGACCACCACGACUGCCAAAAUGGUCUCUCCGAGUCCCGACCACCACGGCUAUGGAAGGAAAGAUCAACUCACCAUGGAGAAUCUGACCAUCAUAAUAAUUUGAAUUUUAAAUCUCUAUGUAGUAGUUUUUUGUUCAUGUUGUAUGAGAUAUGUUUUUUUUAGUUAUUCUAAUUUCAAACGUCUGUUUAGUCUCAAUAUUUUUAACAAAAAUAUUUAGGAGAAAAUAGUUUUGGGUCUCGUCUCUGAUUGAUUCUAAGGUUUGAAAAUGUAAAUAUUAACGAGUUGAUUUUUAUAUUAGCUGUUUAAUUAUUUUUCA
RNA transcript from Cucumis sativus (cucumber), 3479 nucleotides. RefSeq lists it as hypothetical. The transcript is spliced from 6 exons. NCBI's taxonomy places the organism in Eukaryota, Viridiplantae, Streptophyta, Magnoliopsida, Cucurbitales, Cucurbitaceae. The record is from RefSeq and is a predicted model, not a curated record.